UACGUAGGAGGCAAGCGUUGUCCGGAAUUACUGGGCGUAAAGCGCGUGUAGGUGGUGGGACAAGUCUGCUGUGAAAGCGCCUGGCUUAACCGGGCGAGGUCGGCGGAAACUGUCCGACUCGAGGACGGUAGAGGGGGGUGGAAUUCCCGGUGUAGUGGUGAAAUGCGUAGAGAUCGGGAGGAACACCUGUGGCGAAGGCGGCCCCCUGGGCCGGCCCUGACACUGAUGCGCGACAGCAUGGGGAGCAAACAGG
This 253-nucleotide ribosomal RNA is filed under the name uncultured bacterium. RNAcentral describes it as "partial 16S ribosomal RNA". It matches the Rfam family "Bacterial small subunit ribosomal RNA", at positions 524 to 776 of the family's 1533-position model. The record is from RNAcentral.